Molecule: long non-coding RNA, 647 nt
Organism: Mercurialis annua (annual mercury)
Lineage: Eukaryota; Viridiplantae; Streptophyta; Magnoliopsida; Malpighiales; Euphorbiaceae
Exons: 4
Source: RefSeq, a predicted model, not a curated record
UAAUUCACUCCUUAUAAAUUUUUACGAUUUCAGUAUAUGUUUUUACGGCAAAAAAACUUGAAAUGUACGCUUUCUUUCUCCGAUCAAACAUGCAAUUGAUUUCAUCGAGUUCAGCCGCAUUUUCAUCCUCCAGAUCUCGAUUUCAGAACGGCGGGCAGUGAGAAAAUAAAAGAGGCUGAACAGAAAGUUUUUACUGCCUUACUCGCGUUCUUUCACUAAGAAGCGGAUGUGGGUAGGUCCGGGCUUUUUUUGUAUUUUCGGCAGUGGUUCCGAUGUGGAACGAACUACCGGUAAAUAUCUGCGAGUAAUUGAGAUGUCUCAACGAGGAGAAGAAGCCUUAUUUGGAUAAAGCUGUUGAGCUUAAGGAUGAGUAUGUCAAGGCCUUGGAGCAAGAAAAUUAUGCUUAUAAUGAAGAUGUCAUAGACUUACUUGGAUCCAAAAGCUGCCUACAAACACCAUCACCUGCUCUUCCAACACUCAAAAUAGGUUCAAUAAGGUGGAAGAGAAGAGGGUUUCUGUAAUUUUGUUGGCCGGAGGGAUGGGUUUAUAAUAAAAUUUGUAAUUUUUUUUUGUUGGUUAACCAAUGGUUUAUUAAUGGUAUACCAAUAAUUUUGCUUGUAAUACAAUGUUCGUAAACGCUAGGUUAA